AGAGUUUGAUCAUGGCUCAGAUUGAACGCUGGCGGCAGGCUUAACACAUGCAAGUCGAACGGUAACAGAACUAGCUUGCUAGUUGCUGACGAGUGGCGGACGGGUGAGUAACGCGUAGGAAUCUACCGAAUAGUGGGGGACAACAGUUGGAAACGGCUGCUAAUACCGCAUACGCCCUACGGGGGAAAGGAGGGGAUCUUCGGACCUUUCGCUAUUUGAUGAGCCUGCGUGAGAUUAGUUAGUUGGUGGGGUAAUGGCUCACCAAGGCGACGAUCUCUAGCUGGUCUGAGAGGAUGAUCANCCACACUGGGACUGAGACACGGCCCAGACUCCUACGGGAGCCACCANUGGGGAAUAUUGCACAAUGGGGGAAACCCUGAUGCAGCCAUGCCGCGUGUGUGAAGAAGNCCUUCGGGUUGUAAAGCACUUUCAGU
RNAcentral lists this ribosomal RNA (434 nucleotides) under uncultured bacterium. RNAcentral describes it as "bacterial SSU rRNA". It matches the Rfam family "Bacterial small subunit ribosomal RNA", at positions 8 to 440 of the family's 1533-position model. The record is from RNAcentral.